GUUUGAUGAUGAAAAAAUGUCCAAGUGACAUGAUUUUAAACCCAGCUCAGUCGAU
This 55-nucleotide small nuclear RNA is filed under the name Eremothecium sinecaudum. Its description in RNAcentral is "HHRSNR69". The record is from RNAcentral. Lineage: Eukaryota; Fungi; Ascomycota; Saccharomycetes; Saccharomycetales; Saccharomycetaceae.